AUUGAACGCUGGCGGCAUGCCUUACACAUGCAAGUCGAACGGUAACGGGCCUUCGGGUGCCGACGAGUGGCGAACGGGUGAGUAAUGCAUCGGAACGUACCUUUCAGUGGGGGAUAACGUAGCGAAAGUUACGCUAAUACCGCAUACUCUGUGAGCAGGAAAGCAGGGGAUCGCAAGACCUUGCGCUGAUUGAGCGGCCGAUGUCAGAUUAGCUAGUUGGUGGGGUAAAGGCGCACCAAGGCGACGAUCUGUAGCGGGUCUGAGAGGAUGAUCCGCCACACUGGGACUGAGACACGGCCCAGACUCCUACGGGAGGCAGCAGUGGGGAAUUUUGGACAAUGGGGGCAACCCUGAUCCAGCCAUGCCGCGUGAGUGAAGAAGGCCUUCGGGUUGUAAAGCUCUUUCGGCCGGGAAGAAAUCGCACAGGCUAAUACCUUGUGUGGACGACGGUACCGGAAUAAGAAGCACCGGCUAACUACGUGCCAGCAGCCGCAGUAA
RNAcentral lists this ribosomal RNA (498 nucleotides) under uncultured bacterium. RNAcentral describes it as "partial 16S ribosomal RNA". It matches the Rfam family "Bacterial small subunit ribosomal RNA", at positions 30 to 523 of the family's 1533-position model. The record is from RNAcentral.